RNAcentral lists this ribosomal RNA (447 nucleotides) under uncultured bacterium. RNAcentral describes it as "bacterial SSU rRNA". It matches the Rfam family "Bacterial small subunit ribosomal RNA", at positions 330 to 794 of the family's 1533-position model. The record is from RNAcentral.
GCCAGACUCCUACGGGAGGCAGCAGUGGGGAAUAUUGCACAAUGGGGGAAACCCUGAUGCAGCGACGCCGCGUGAGCGAUGAAGUAUUUCGGUAUGUAAAGCUCUAUCAGCAGGGAAGAAAAUGACGGUACCUGACUAAGAAGCCCCGGCUAACUACGUGCCAGCAGCCGCGGUAAUACGUAGGGGGCAAGCGUUAUCCGGAUUUACUGGGUGUAAAGGGAGCGUAGACGGUCCUGCAAGCCAGAUGUGAAAGCCCGGGGCUCAACCCCGGGACUGCAUUUGGAACUGUCAGGCUGGAGUGCCGGAGGGGUAAGCGGAAUUCCUGGUGUAGCGGUGAAAUGCGUAGAUAUCAGGAGGAACACCGGCGGCGAAGGCGGCUUACUGGACGGCAACUGACGUUGAGGCCCGAAAGCGUGGGGAGCGAACAGGAUUAGAUACCCGGGUAUA